Molecule: ribosomal RNA, 500 nt
Filed under: uncultured bacterium
Lineage: Bacteria
Description: partial 16S ribosomal RNA
Rfam family: Bacterial small subunit ribosomal RNA
Source: RNAcentral
AUUGAACGCUGGCGGAAUGCUUUACACAUGCAAGUCGAACGGCAGCACGGACUUCGGUCUGGUGGCGAGUGGCGAACGGGUGAGUAAUACAUCGGAGCGUGCCCAGUCGUGGGGGAUAACGUAGCGAAAGCUACGCUAAUACCGCAUACGAUCUAAGGAUGAAAGCGGGGGAUCGCCAGACCUCGCGCGAUUGGAGCGGCCGAUGGCAGAUUAGGUAGUUGGUGGGGUAAAGGCUCACAAAGCCGACGAUCUGUAGCUGGUCUGAGAGGACGACCAGCCACACUGGGACUGAGACACGGCCCAGACUCCGACGGGAGGCUGCAGUGGGGAAUCUUGCGCAAUGAGCGAAAGCUUGACGCAGCAACGCCGCGUGAGGGAAGAAGGCUUUCGGGUCGUAAACCUCUUUCAGUUAGGACGAAGCUUUAUUGGUUAAUAACCAAUUGGAGUGACGGUACUUUCAGAAGAAGCCCCGGCUAACUACGUGCCAGCCGCCGCUGUAA